UGAUCGCGGGGGAAACCCUGAGGAAAGUCCGAGCUCCGCAGAGCAGGGUGCUGGGUAACACCCAGUGGGGGCAACCCUAAGGCUAGUGCCACAGAAACAUACCGCCCGCAGGGGCAAGGGUGAAACGGUGAGGUAAGAGCUCACCAGCAGUCAGGUGACUGGCUGGCUAGGUAAACCCCACCCGGAGCAAGGCCAAAUAGGGAAGGAGAGGCUGCUCGUCUCGUUUGACUUCCGGGUUGGCUGCUGGAGGCUGCAGGCAACUGCAGUCCUAGAUAGAUGAUCACCCUCGACAGAACUCGGCUUAUAGGUUCACUCGCUUU
Molecule: RNase P RNA, 320 nt
Filed under: Bacillota bacterium
Lineage: Bacteria; Bacillati; Bacillota
Description: Firmicutes bacterium (anaerobic digester metagenome) partial RNase P RNA component class A
Rfam family: Bacterial RNase P class A
About the family: Ribonuclease P (RNase P) is a ubiquitous endoribonuclease, found in archaea, bacteria and eukarya as well as chloroplasts and mitochondria. Its best characterised activity is the generation of mature 5'-ends of tRNAs by cleaving the 5'-leader elements of precursor-tRNAs.
Source: RNAcentral